UACGUAGGGUGCGAGCGUUAAUCGGAAUUACUGGGCGUAAAGCGUGCGCAGGCGGUUCGCUGUGUCCGAUGUGAAAGCCCCGGGCUUAACCUGGGAAUGGCAUUGGAAACUGGCGGGCUUGAGUGCGGCAGAGGGGGGUGGAAUUCCGCGUGUAGCAGUGAAAUGCGUAGAUAUCGAGAGGAACACCAGUGGCGAAGGCGAGUCCCUGGACAACACCUGACACUGAGGCACGAAAGCUAGGGGAGCAAACAGG
RNAcentral lists this ribosomal RNA (253 nucleotides) under uncultured bacterium. Its description in RNAcentral is "partial 16S ribosomal RNA". It matches the Rfam family "Bacterial small subunit ribosomal RNA", at positions 524 to 776 of the family's 1533-position model. The record is from RNAcentral.